Passer domesticus (house sparrow) is the source of this 1945-nucleotide long non-coding RNA. RefSeq lists it as uncharacterized. Lineage: Eukaryota; Metazoa; Chordata; Aves; Passeriformes; Passeridae. The record is from RefSeq and is a predicted model, not a curated record. The transcript is spliced from 2 exons.
GGAAACUUUUCUGCAAUAGGGACUAAUUGCUAGGAAGAAGUAAUUUUUUGCCUUCAGGCAUAAUGGCUGCUCAGUAAACACCCAAAUACAGAAAAACAUGCUUCUUAAGAUAUUAUGUUUAAAAAAAAAAACCCAAAACCCAACAGCUUUUCAGAGAUGCUUUCCAAGGGACUCCUUCUACCAUCCCCCCAACCAAUCUCCCCAUUACUACUCAGUAAGCAGCUCGAGGCAGCUUCUUAUAGAAUUCAGAUUAAUUUUUAAAUCAGCCAGACAAACCGGUUCUAUGGCAGAAAGCAUUGACAGUCUUAGCAGCAACACUACAAGCUACAUCUGUAUUAGCUCUUUCCUUUUCUCUUUGUUUGGAAGGUUGUAAUGACUUUGCAUGGCUAGUUAUCUCAGAUUUAUUUAUGUAAAGAACUUUACAGAGGGGGUCAAAUCUCCUCUGAAAGCAUUUAGCUAUCUCCAUAGUACAUAUAAGUAAUAAAUUCAUCCAGGUAAUUGCAAUGAAUGGAAUUUCUAUAUAUGCCUAAACAAGAGUUAAGUACUAAUACCAAAUUGAUAUUUCACUCAAAGUAGGGACUGGGGAACAGAAGAGAUUCUCCAGUUUGCCCCAUUUAUUGGUUAAUAUGGGCAGUACAAGACUUGCCAUUUUGGAUACAUUCAAGCCUUGCACUGGACAGGGCUUUGCUGGGGUACAGGUUCGGGCUCCUAGGCCCAAAUAUUCUUCUUGACAGUGAGCACAGAGUGAAGUAACAGAUGCAUUUCAAGUGAACUCCAAGCAAAUAGGCAUCGUAUUAUGCUGAACAACUAUGAAAGUUAUUGCUUAACACCAGUGAGUUUUGUGCAACUUGUUAGCACACAUCCAGGCUGCUGGAAGAGCUGCAGUGCUGCUUCUCCACCACCUGAAAUAUCCUGGUUUCAUAAAAUAUACUCACCAGACGUAAAAUAAGGUAAUAGAAAUGAUUUUUUAUUUAAUAUUUGGAUUACCUGAGGACAAUGGCAGUUUUCAGUCUGAAAGGCUUAUCUGAACUGUGAUCUUUGCUCUUCUGAAAACCUUUUCAGUUUGAGUUUGUACAGUGCUCACCAGCAGUAACUUCUUGCUUCUAAACUGCUUUUUACCCAUCACUUCUAUCUAAAUUAUAUUUAUAAAGAGUAGUUACAUAACUCUACUCUUCUGAGACUGAUGCUCAUUCCUUUGGGAUCUCCUCCCCAGAUGCCACAUAUAAUAUUUCUUCAGUAAGCUCAGUGUGAAAUCGAGGAUCCCACAUAACUUUCUGAAUUUGGGUUCCCAGAUGGUACUGCAGCAUGCUGCUUAGCUACUCAAUUAGCAGCAAGUACCCUUUGGUAAAUGGUUAAUUUUAAUCUUGUUUGAGGAUAUUUAAUUUCAGUUAGCCUAAUCAGUGUCAUACCCAACAGAAAUACCUGCAAUGCAUUUAGGCAGUGUUGAAGGGAAGAAGAAAGAUGCAUUGUCAGGCAUUUCUCAGGGAGUCAGAAGGCUGGAUCAGCACUUCAGCUGAGUCAUCAGUAGGUCCAAGGCAGCAGUGGACAUUCUGCACUCAGAAAACAUCCAGCGCUGACCUCCUGGAAACUUCUGAAGUUCAACUGGAUUUCCACUAGAAAGAAGUUUAAAACUCAAAGGUACUGGAUACUGAUUUGUGAGUCCAAACAAAGAGACAUACAUAAGUAACAAGCUCACCAGCUAUGGAUUUGCUCGUUCACAAAGCAAUUUUUUCAAGUGAAAUGGGGAGAGCUUAUCUCAGCUACAAAGAAAAAGUGAUUUCACAGUAAUGCAUGGUACCUGCAACAUCUUCGAGAUCUGUUACAACAAUGUGUGCAUUUAGCUCCUGUAAUUUAUGAUGCAAAUCUUCUAACUUCUUAUUAGAUUUUUUCAAAAUGUUGUCCACAUAUGCCAAGUUCUUUUUAUCCGUUGUGACCUUCCUGAGGU